UCUGUUUUUUCAAUGCACCAUCAAGUCCAGAAGAGAUUUAAAACAGUAAAGUAUAACUUCCUGAUAAAUCAUAUUAACAUUGUUUAAGAGACUACACCUGUGUUUUUGCUGUUCUGUCACUUUAAUUUUGUCUCUCAACUUAGCUUGAAAAAAACAUAAAAUGACACGCUGUUGCUUAAAAAAAUAGAAGAAAAAAACAAAGAAAAUGACACAAUACCUGUAAAUGACAUGAGAAAAGAAAUCAAAGCCUUGAGAGCAGAGAAUCAGCAACUAAAGGCCCUGAACUUUAAACUGCAAAAUGGUAGGUUAUUUAUAUACAUAGUUAUAGAUUUUUUGCUAUGAAUGUAUGAGUUUAUUUAAACAUUGUUUUCUUUAUUUGGAGAUUAUUAACAGAAUUGCGGAGUUGCUGCCAGACAGCAGUGUAAACAAGCAUGUGCCAUCCUCCCUAACAAGUUCAACCAGACAACUCUUCACAUAGUUCUUCUGAACUGGACCGUGUUGAAAUCCACAGAAAACGAAACAAGGAUACAUCGUGGUCAGCCAUGAUCAAGGAUUUAGCUGUGGCUGGUUUUGGAAGGAGCAUGUUACCCGAAGCCUUUCUGCAAAAUUUUGAAAUGCCAACAAAGAAUCACAAGCCAAGCCUCGUUUGGACCCACACAAGUGGAACUUAUUAUAGGUAUAAAAGUGUUGAAAGUCUUUAAAGGAAUAGUUUAGUAGUCUUUUGUCCUAGUAUGGGAGUCAAUGGUGACCCAAAACGGCUUAGUUACAAACUUUUGUGAUUUGUGUACAGCACAACAAGGAAAUGCAUGAAGGUUUGUAACAACUGCAGGGUGAGCAAAUGAUGACAACAUUUUUCAUUUGUGGGUGAAUUAUUCCCCAAAUUCUCUCAUAACAAGUAUCUGACACUAAAGUGUAUUUACAUUUCUCUUUCAGACACUGUUCAUUUCCAGCAACUCCCCAAAAGCUUCUUCGGGCUGCUGAGAAAAAAUAAUGAUGAACAUAAACUUCUUAGCAGGCAACAUCAGAAGGACACUGUUACGCUGCAACACUGAGUGGACAUAAG
Triplophysa rosa is the source of this 1063-nucleotide long non-coding RNA. RefSeq lists it as uncharacterized. The record is from RefSeq and is a predicted model, not a curated record. NCBI's taxonomy places the organism in Eukaryota, Metazoa, Chordata, Actinopteri, Cypriniformes, Nemacheilidae. The transcript has 3 exons.